UUUAGUGGUAACUUCAGCAGGACUGAUUUAAGAAUCUGAUGUAGGAGAAUUAAAGAGAGUGAUUCUUCAGUUAAUUUUAUAACUUAAUGAUACAAGAUAUUGGGACAGUGUUUAUUAUAAAGAACAGUUGGUUAAUUUAUUAUGAAUGAAUACUAAUUUCAAUGUAACUCCGAAUUAAUUUCAUAACUUGCAGAACUGAUAAGGAGUUUUUGAAGACAAUUGGUAUAAUAUAGUAUAAGAGGAGAAGGAAAGUUGAUCAGAUUACAGAAAGAUUGGCAAUUAAUUGAACAACAUGGAUUAGAUGUGUGGGUAUUGGGAUGAUAUAGAAUCAGGAGAAAGAUAGCAAGUUGGAUUUUAUAAUUCUAAGGAAAUCUGGAAUAAAAGACAACAUUGUUACAAGUUACAACUGGAUUUGAUGUAAAGCGACCUGGUUAUUGGAGGUAGAAGUGUCAAAUUACAG
Ruditapes philippinarum (Manila clam) is the source of this 460-nucleotide long non-coding RNA. RefSeq lists it as uncharacterized. Lineage: Eukaryota; Metazoa; Mollusca; Bivalvia; Venerida; Veneridae. The record is from RefSeq and is a predicted model, not a curated record. The transcript has 3 exons.